CUACGUGCCAGCAGCCGCGGUAAUACGGAAGGUCCAGGCGUUAUCCGGAUUUAUUGGGUUUAAAGGGAGCGUAGGCCGGAGAUUAAGUGUGUUGUGAAAUGUAGACGCUCAACGUCUGACUUGCAGCGCAUACUGGUUUCCUUGAGUACGCACAACGUUGGCGGAAUUCGUCGUGUAGCGGUGAAAUGCUUAGAUAUGACGAAGAACUCCGAUUGCGAAGGCAGCUGACGGGAGCGCAACUGACGCUGAAGCUCGAAGGUGCGGGUAUCGAACAGGAUUAGAUACCCUGGUAGUCCGCACAGUAAACGAUGGAUGCCCGCUGUUGGUACCUAGUAUCAGCGGCUAAGCGAAAGCAUUAAGCAUCCCACCUGGGGAGUACGCCGGCAACGGUGAAACUCAAAGGAAUUGACGGGGGCCCGCACAAGCGGAGGAACAUGUGGUUUAAUUCGAUGAUACGCGAGGAACCUUACCCGGGCUUGAACUGCAGCUGAACGAUUCAGAGA
Molecule: ribosomal RNA, 503 nt
Filed under: uncultured bacterium
Lineage: Bacteria
Description: bacterial SSU rRNA
Rfam family: Bacterial small subunit ribosomal RNA
Source: RNAcentral